This 434-nucleotide ribosomal RNA is filed under the name uncultured Coprococcus sp. RNAcentral's name for it is "partial 16S ribosomal RNA". It matches the Rfam family "Bacterial small subunit ribosomal RNA", at positions 341 to 792 of the family's 1533-position model. Lineage: Bacteria; Bacillati; Bacillota; Clostridia; Lachnospirales; Lachnospiraceae. The record is from RNAcentral.
ACGGAAGGCAGCAGUGGGGAAUAUUGCACAAUGGGGGAAACCCUGAACCAGCGACGCCGCGUGAGUGAAGAAGUAUUUCGGUAUGUAAAGCUCUAUCAGCAGGGACGAUAAUGACGGUACCUGGCUAAGAAGCCCCGGCUAACUACGUGCCAGCAGCCGCGGUAAUACGUAGGGGGCAAGCGUUAUCCGGAUUUACUGGGUGUAAAGGGAGCGUAGGUGGCCAUGCAAGUCAGAUGUGAAAUCCCGGGGCUCAACCCCGGAGCUGCAUUUGAAACUGCGUAGCUAGAGUGCAGGAGAGGUAAGCGGAAUUCCUAGUGUAGCGGUGAAAUGCGUAGAUAUUAGGAGGAACACCAGUGGCGAAAGCGGCUUGCUGGACUGCAACUGACACUGAGGCUCGAAAGCGUGGGGAGCAAACAGGAUUAGAUACCCUGGUA